Molecule: ribosomal RNA, 255 nt
Filed under: uncultured bacterium
Lineage: Bacteria
Description: partial 16S ribosomal RNA
Rfam family: Bacterial small subunit ribosomal RNA
Source: RNAcentral
UACGUAGGAUCCAAGCGUUUGUCCGGAUUUACUGGGUGUAAAGGGUGCGCAGGCGGACUUGUUAGUCAGAGGUGAAAUCUCGCUGCUCAACAGUGAAACUGCCUUUGAUACUGCAGGUCUUGAAUCCAGAAGAGAGUUGUGGAAUUCCGAGUGUAGCAGUGAAAUGUGUAGAUAUUCGGAAGAACACCAGCGGCGAAGGCAGCAACUUGGUCUGGUACUGACGCUGAGGUGCGAAAGCGUGGGGAGCAAACAGGG